CCGUCACACCAUGAGAGUUGGAAAUACCCGAAGCCUGUGAGCUAACUGUAAAGAGGCAGCAGUCGAAGGUAGAGCCAAUGAUUGGGUGAAGUCGUAACAAGGUAUC
This 106-nucleotide ribosomal RNA is filed under the name uncultured bacterium. RNAcentral's name for it is "partial 16S ribosomal RNA". It matches the Rfam family "Bacterial small subunit ribosomal RNA", at positions 1394 to 1500 of the family's 1533-position model. The record is from RNAcentral.